CUCAAAAUAAUUUUUAAGGAAACUGUACGGGUACAGAUAAAGUAAAAGUGAUUUGUGAACUGUUGUGCAACUGGAUGUAACAUGUUUGUCUGUGGGACAGAAGGGCUGCAGCUAAAAGUGAGGCAUGCAUCUGCAAUGGUUAAAAUUCAGAAUCACCAUGGAAACAAAUCCACAGGUGGGAAUCCAUGAGAUAAAUCAUUCCCCCAGGAGCAGAAAGCCACACUAUCAAACCUCCUGGGAAGACACAGCAGCAGCAGCAGCUUUGCCACUGCCGUUAUCACCAGGAUGCCCAGAACUGGAGUGUCUGAUACAGAAGUGAAAGGCCUGUGGACACACAUUUCACACACCUGUGGUCCCUGUGCUCCAGCCACCCUUGGAACUGAAGCCUAGCUGGCCAACAGAGCCUCAUGGUACCUGUGUGGUGUCAUCCCAUCAAGCACCUCUGGCAGAGCCACCCCUCCUCACUUGGAUCCUCUUUACCCCAACACCACCCCCCUAACUAAGAGAUCACUGGACUUUGCUCUGCUCCAUUAUCUAAAAAGCUGUGUGAUGUCUCCUGGAACAGGAGGAGCUUCGAACAAAAGGUGCUAAUUCUGGAAGUCAGAGGGAAAGUUCCAGCUGGAAGGCUGAUUGGGUUACACUGACAUUUAUUCUUGGAAAAACCCUCCUCUGACUGGAGUCACCAAGGUUGUGAAUUGCAUCACAGAACUCCAGGGGCACCAUUCAGAACAAAGGCUUGUUAAAUCUCUCCUCUCAAGUUAGAGUAUGGACCUGUCCAACUACACCCAGCAGCCUGAUUGUAACAUACACCCAGCCCUUUAUCUCAGCAAGCUCUCUAGAGACAGAAAGCAAACCCAUCUUAUUCCCAGUUCACUGGUCUGUAGAGCAGCACACAGCUUCAUGGAUUUGGGGUAGACUUCCAUCACAUUAAACUGCAGCUCCUUGACAAUGGAAUUAAUACCUGGAAAGCACUUAAAAUCUGGUGGUUUUUUUUUUUUUUAAUCUUGUUGGC
This 1012-nucleotide long non-coding RNA is filed under the name Cricetulus griseus (Chinese hamster). Its description in RNAcentral is "lncRNA (ENSCGRG00015035165.1)". The record is from RNAcentral. Lineage: Eukaryota; Metazoa; Chordata; Mammalia; Rodentia; Cricetidae.